RNAcentral lists this ribosomal RNA (492 nucleotides) under uncultured bacterium. Its description in RNAcentral is "partial 16S ribosomal RNA". It matches the Rfam family "Bacterial small subunit ribosomal RNA", at positions 29 to 507 of the family's 1533-position model. The record is from RNAcentral.
AGUGAACGCUGGCGGUAGGCCUAACACAUGCAAGUCGAACGGCAGCACAGUAAGAGCUUGCUCUUACGGGUGGCGAGUGGCGGACGGGUGAGGAAUACAUCGGAAUCUACUUUUUCGUGGGGGAUAACGUAGGGAAACUUACGCUAAUACCGCAUACGACCUACGGGUGAAAGCAGGGGAUCUUCGGACCUUUCCCGAUUCAAUGAGCCGAUGUCGGAUUAGCUAGUUGGCGGGGUAAAGGCCCACCAAGGCGACGAUCCGUAGCUGGUCUGAGAGGAUGAUCAGCCACACUGGAACUGAGACACGGUCCAGACUCCUACGGGAGGCAGCAGUGGGGAAUAUUGGACAAUGGGCGCAAGCCUGAUCCAGCCAUACCGCGUGGGUGAAGAAGGCCUUCGGGUUGUAAAGCCCUUUUGUUGGGAAAGAAAAGCAGCAGGUUAAUACCCCGCUGUUCUGACGGUACCCAAAGAAUAAGCACCGGCUAACUUCGUG